AUUGAACGCUGGCGGCAUGCCUAACACAUGCAAGUCGAACGGUAACGCGGAGAGCUUGCUCUCUGGCGACGAGUGGCGGACGGGUGAGUAAUACUUGGGAAUCUGCCCAGUAGUGGGGGACAACAUUCGGAAACGGAUGCUAAUACCGCAUACGCACUACGGUGGAAAGUGGGGGAUCUUCGGACCUCACGCUAUUGGAUGAGCCCAAGUCGGAUUAGCUUGUAGGUAGGGUAAUGGCCUACCUAGGCGACGAUCCGUAGCUGGUCUGAGAGGACGAUCAGCCACACUGGGACUGAGACACGGCCCAGACUCCUACGGGAGGCAGCAGUGGGGAAUAUUGGACAAUGGGCGCAAGCCUGAUCCAGCAAUGCCGCGUGUGUGAAGAAGGCCUGCGGGUUGUAAAGCACUUUCAGUAGAGAAGAAAAGCCUAGGGUUAAUACCCCUGAGUCUUGACGUAACCUACAGAAGAAGCACCGGCUAACUCCGUG
Molecule: ribosomal RNA, 488 nt
Filed under: uncultured bacterium
Lineage: Bacteria
Description: bacterial SSU rRNA
Rfam family: Bacterial small subunit ribosomal RNA
Source: RNAcentral